Molecule: ribosomal RNA, 468 nt
Filed under: uncultured bacterium
Lineage: Bacteria
Description: partial 16S ribosomal RNA
Rfam family: Bacterial small subunit ribosomal RNA
Source: RNAcentral
GACGAACGCUGGCGGCGUGCUUAACACAUGCAAGUCGAACGGAAAGGCCCUGCUUUUGUGGGGUUCUCGAGUGGCGAACGGGUGAGUAACACGUGAGUAACCUGCCCUUGACUUUGGGAUAACUUCAGGAAACUCGGGCUAAUACCGGAUAGGAGCUCCUGCUGCAUGGUGUGGGUUGGAAAGUUUCGGCGGUUGGGGAUGGACUCGCGGCUUAUCAGCUUGUUGGGGGGGUAGUUGCUUACCAAGGCUUGGACGGGUAGCCGGCCUGAGAGGGUGACCGGCCACAUUGGGACUGAGAUACGGCCCAGACUCCUACGGGAGGCAGCAGUGGGGAAUAUUGCACAAUGGGCGGAAGCCUGAUGCAGCAACGCCGCGUGCGGGAUGACGGCCUUCGGGUUGUAAACCGCUUUCGCCUGUGACGAAGCGUGAGUGACGGUAAUGGGUAAAGAAGCACCGGCUAACUACGUG